GCAAACUUGGUCAUUUAGAGGAAGUAAAAGUCGUAACAAGGUUUCCGUAGGUGAACCUGCGGAAGGAUCAUCUUUGAAUUUGAUCACCAAAUUUCCAGGGGGUCUGUGACCCAAUUUUGGGUUCAGGCUUUCUUAAUUAAUUCUGGGAAUUUGUACUUUUCUUUUGACGAGUACAUUUACCCGAAAAAUCUAAUUAAAAAAAUUAAUUACACAACUUUUAACGAUGGAUCUCUUGGCUCCCGCAUCGAUGAAGAACGCAGC
This 261-nucleotide unclassified non-coding RNA is filed under the name uncultured fungus. RNAcentral's name for it is "partial contains small subunit ribosomal RNA, internal transcribed spacer 1, and 5.8S ribosomal RNA". The stretch from base 1 to 73 matches the Rfam family "Eukaryotic small subunit ribosomal RNA", at positions 1759 to 1831 of the family's 1831-position model. Lineage: Eukaryota; Fungi. The record is from RNAcentral.